RNAcentral lists this ribosomal RNA (221 nucleotides) under Cecropia pachystachya. RNAcentral's name for it is "5.8S ribosomal RNA". The stretch from base 62 to 217 matches the Rfam family "5.8S ribosomal RNA". Rfam says of the family: 5.8S ribosomal RNA (5.8S rRNA) is a component of the large subunit of the eukaryotic ribosome. It is transcribed by RNA polymerase I as part of the 45S precursor that also contains 18S and 28S rRNA. Lineage: Eukaryota; Viridiplantae; Streptophyta; Magnoliopsida; Rosales; Urticaceae. The record is from RNAcentral.
CGCCCUGGAAACGGUGAUGCGGCGGGGGCUGCGCGCGUUCGCGAUAUACGCAAGUCAUAACGACUCUCGGCAACGGAUAUCUCGGCUCUCGCAUCGAUGAAGAACGUAGCGAAAUGCGAUACUUGGUGUGAAUUGCAGAAUCCCGUGAACCAUCGAGUCUUUGAACGCAAGUUGCGCCCGAAGCCAUCUGGCCGAGGGCACGUCUGCCUGGGCGUCACGCA